RNAcentral lists this ribosomal RNA (713 nucleotides) under Sporosarcina luteola. RNAcentral describes it as "bacterial SSU rRNA". It matches the Rfam family "Bacterial small subunit ribosomal RNA", at positions 56 to 754 of the family's 1533-position model. Lineage: Bacteria; Bacillati; Bacillota; Bacilli; Caryophanales; Caryophanaceae. The record is from RNAcentral.
UGCAGUCGAGCGGACAGAUGGGAGCUUGCUCCCUGAAGUUAGCGGCGGACGGGUGAGUAACACGUGGGCAACCUGCCCUGCAGAUGGGGAUAACUCCGGGAAACCGGGGCUAAUACCGAAUAAUAAGUACCUCCGCAUGGAGGAACUUUGAAAGACGGCUUCAGCUGUCACUGCAGGAUGGGCCCGCGGCGCAUUAACUAGUUGGUGGGGUAACGGCCUACCAAGGCGACGAUGCGUAGCCCACCUGAGAGGGUGAUCGGCCACACUGGGACUGAGACACGGCCCAGACUCCUACGGGAGGCAGCAGUAGGGAAUCUUCCACAAUGGACGAAAGUCUGAUGGAGCAACGCCCCGUGAGCGAAGAAAGUUUUCGGAUCGUAAAGCUCUGUUGUGAGGGAAGAACAAGUACGGGAGUAACUGUCCGUACCUUGACGGUACCUCAUUAGAAAGCCACGGCUAACUACGUGCCAGCAGCCGCGGUAAUACGUAAGUGGCAAGCGUUGUCCGGAAUUAUUGGGCGUAAAGCGCGCGCAGGCGGUCCUUUAAGUCUGAUGUGAAAGCCCACGGCUCAACCGUGGAGGGUCAUUGGAAACUGGGGGACUUGAGUGCAGAAGAAGAAAGCGGAAUUCCACGUGUAGCGGUGAAAUGCGUAGAGAUGUGGAGGAACACCAGUGGCGAAGCGGCUUUCUGGUCUGUAACUGACGCUGAAGCGC